AAGUGAGGUCAGCGUUCCCCCGCGGAUGAUUGGUAAGACCUGGAUCCGGAUGUAGCUUUGAGCGCCGUGAAUGGUCGCUUCAGCGAGACAGGAAGAGGAACGACGAGACGCGAUUGGCCGCGGGAGUCGUGGUUCGCUCUCUUGCGGACGGGAGGCAGGGGAGCUGCGGCUAGCGGCGACUAGCUCGGCGGGAAGCUUCUUUCGUGCUUCAGAAGGAGCCGUGCCUCAUUUCUUCCCCGCAGCCCGCUCCUCCGUCGGAUGAUGCCGGCGGCCGCGUCGCCCCCUCUCACGAUCGGUGGCGGUGGCGCAGGAGGGGGCCUGGCCGGAGCCGGAAGUGAAGCGGCGGCCAUAGAGGGGCGGCGGCGGCGGCGGCGCCUCUGGCGGUACGCGGCGGAACCGCCUGCCGGGAGCGUGCGGAGGAGUUUGUCGGCCAGCGGCCCGGUGAUGCGCGGACCUGCCCUGCCCCGUCUCCUGCUGCUUUCCCCGUGGGACCCGCCGGAAUCGAGCGGCGGUGCUGAGGUGUCCUGAGCAGAGACACCGCUGGGGCUGCAGGUAGGGGCUGCAGGCGCCGCCCGUGCCGCUUUCCCUUCGUGCCGGUCUCAGGCGGUGCGGGCGGGACGGGGAUGACUCCGCUUCCCUGGAGGAAGGCGCUGGAACGCCGUCAUUAGUUAUUCCCUACUGGCCCAUGACGCGUUUAGGUUGCAAUCCGGGGUGGGGGCCGUGAGUGCCUCUUGCCGCUCGGUGGCUUCAGCACGUGGUGCCGGUGGUUGCGAUGGGUGCCUGGCUUGGAGCCAGGCCGCUGGGUUCAUUUCUCCAGCGGAAGGCGCAGCAAGGGUAGGGAAGAACAGCGUUGAUAGGAUCGAGUGCUUGUCCGCAAGUGUCGGGGACGAUUGCAGGCCGCUCCUCUACUUGUGAUGGAUGCUCUCUAGAGGCGCUGCCUUAAAAAGCAGCGUGUCUACACCUCAAGUGGCCGGCUUCUAAGGAGACUUGGGUCUUGGAGACUCGUUUUUAUACUACUAAAUAGGAAUUGCUAGUUAAAGUCUAUAAUAAAAUUUUAUCGUUAGCCUUAGUUUCACAUUGCUCUGUGGUUGAAUAAUGCAGGUGAUCAUUUUUAUUCCAUGAAGGAACGAGUGUCUGACGGUGCUCGCUCUUAGCUACAAGUCGUAUCUCAGCUUUAUCUAAAGCAACAGUGGAGGAACCUGUCAGUAGUUAAGAGAUAGUUAAGGGAUCGAUUGUACUGGUUCAGCAGAAAUGGAUUGGUUAAGUGUAAGUCUCCGUAUCAGUUCUGCUUUAAAGGCGUUUUUAAACUUGUUUUAAUUUGUAUUAAAUCUGAUGCUUUGGAAAGUAGUGAGGAAAGGGCUCUCUGGAGAGUUGAGUGAGUCAGAACUGCCUACCCCUGUGUGAAUCUGGGUCAAACACAAAUGCUCUGGAGGAUGCGUAUAAAAGUUUUUGAGGCGUGUAAUGUUGAGGGAACUUUGAUUCUGUACUGUAGUUCCACUUUAGUGGAUAAACAAAAGCAAAUUGUUCAGAAUAUUUUAGCCCAAAUGUUCAGAAAGCUUUCAAAAUCCACUUUGAUUGUGACUUCUGUACUGGCCAAAUCGUGACCUAGAUUGCGAGGUGUUUUUUGUGGCAACAGUUUGUAUCUCUAGUACCGUUCAAUAAAUAAAUGGUUUGUGACAAAA
Pogoniulus pusillus (Red-fronted tinkerbird) is the source of this 1682-nucleotide long non-coding RNA. RefSeq lists it as uncharacterized. Lineage: Eukaryota; Metazoa; Chordata; Aves; Piciformes; Lybiidae. The transcript is spliced from 2 exons. The record is from RefSeq and is a predicted model, not a curated record.